GUCAUCCUGAUGCUUAUCACAAGGCUGUGAUCUUGCACUGACUGAAUAGCAAAAGAAGGCAGACUUAGACCCUCAUAUAUACCUCAUCUCAGGCCUCAUGCUUUGUCCAUAUUGUGAAGGGGGGGACAUGG
This is a small nucleolar RNA of Lepus europaeus (European hare), 131 nucleotides long. RefSeq annotates it as small nucleolar RNA SNORA51. The transcript has a single exon. Lineage: Eukaryota; Metazoa; Chordata; Mammalia; Lagomorpha; Leporidae. The record is from RefSeq and is a predicted model, not a curated record.